CCUACGGGUGGCAGCAGUGGGGAAUAUUGCACAAUGGGGGAAACCCUGAUGCAGCGACGCCGCGUGAGUGAAGAAGUAUUUCGGUAUGUAAAGCUCUAUCAGCAGGGAAGAUAAUGACGGUACCUGAGGAAGAAGCCCCGGCUAACUACGGGCCAGCAGCCGCGGUAAUACGUAGGGGUCAAGCGGUAUCCGGAUUUCCUGGGUGUAAAGGGGGCGUAGACGGCAUGGCAAGUCUGAAGGGAAAGCCCGGGGCUCAACCGCGGGACUGCUUUGGAAACUGUUAAGCUGGAGUGCAGGAGAGGUAAGUGGAAUGCCUGGUGUAGCGGUGAAAUGCGUAGAUAUUAGGAGGAACACCAGUGGCGAAGGCGGCAUGCUGGACUGUAACUGACGUUGAGGCUCGAAAGCGUGGGGAGCAAACAGGAUUAGAUACCCUAGUAGUC
RNAcentral lists this ribosomal RNA (440 nucleotides) under uncultured bacterium. RNAcentral describes it as "partial 16S ribosomal RNA". It matches the Rfam family "Bacterial small subunit ribosomal RNA", at positions 338 to 795 of the family's 1533-position model. The record is from RNAcentral.